GAUGAACGCUAGCGGCAGGCCUAACACAUGCAAGUCGAGGGGUAACGGGGAGCUUGCUCCGCCGACGACCGGCGCACGGGUGCGCACCGCGUAUGGAACCUACCUUGUACAGGGGAAUAGCCCAGGGAAACUUGGAUUAAUGCCCCGUAGUACUAUUAUUCGGCAUCGUUUAAUAGUUAAAGCCUUCGGGCGGUACAAGAUGGCCAUGCGUCCCAUUAGCUGGUUGGUAAGGUAACGGCUUACCAAGGCUACGAUGGGUAGGGGCCCUGAGAGGGGGAUCCCCCACACUGGUACUGAGACACGGACCAGACUCCUACGGGAGGCAGCAGUGAGGAAUAUUGGACAAUUGAGGAGACUCUGAUCCAGCCAUGCCGCGUGCAGGAAGAAUGCCCUAUGGGUAGUAAACUGCUUUUAUACGGGAAGAAAAAGAGCUACGUGUAGCUUACUGACGGUACCGUAAGAAUAAGGACCGGCUAACUCCGUGCCAGCAGCCGCGGUAAUACGGAGGGUCCGAGCGUUAUCCGGAAUUAUUGGGUUUAAAGGGUCCGUAGGCGGGCCGAUAAGUCAGGGGUGAAAGUUUGCAGCUCAACUGUAAAAUUGCCUUUGAUACUGUUGGUCUUGAGUUAUAGUGAAGUUGCCGGAAUAUGUAGUGUAGCGGUGAAAUGCAUAGAUAUUACAUAGAACACCGAUUGCGAAGGCAGGUGACUAACUAUAUACUGACGCUGAUGGACGAAAGCGUGGGGAGCGAACAGGAUUAGAUACCCCUGGUAGUCCACGCCGUAAACGAUGGAUACUAGCUGUCCGAGGCCUUGAGUCUUGGGCGGCCAAGCGAAAGUGAUAAGUAUCCCACCUGGGGAGUACGUUCGCAAGAAUGAAACUCAAAGGAAUUGACGGGGGCCCGCACAAGCGGUGGAGCAUGUGGUUUAAUUCGAUGAUACGCGAGGAACCUUACCAGGGCUUAAAUGCAUAUUGACAGGUCUAGAGAUAGAUUUUCCUUCGGGCAAUUUGCAAGGUGCUGCAUGGUUGUCGUCAGCUCGUGCCGUGAGGUGUCAGGUUAAGUCCUAUAACGAGCGCAACCCCUACCGUUAGUUGCCAGCAUGUCAUGAUGGGGACUCUAACGGGACUGCCGGUGCAAACCGUGAGGAAGGUGGGGAUGACGUCAAAUCAUCACGGCCCUUACGUCCUGGGCCACACACGUGCUACAAUGGCAGGUACAGAGAGCAGCCAUGUCGCAAGGCAGAGCGAAUCUAUAAAACCUGUCACAGUUCGGAUCGGGGUCUGCAACUCGACCCCGUGAAGCUGGAAUCGCUAGUAAUCGGAUAUCAGCCAUGAUCCGGUGAAUACGUUCCCGGGCCUUGUACACACCGCCCGUCAAGCCAUGGAAGCCGGGAGUGCCUGAAGUCCGUCACCGUAAGGAGCGGCCUAGGGCAAGAUCGGUAACUAGGGCUAAGUCGUAACAAGGUAGCCGUACCGGAAGGUGC
Molecule: ribosomal RNA, 1481 nt
Filed under: Maribacter caenipelagi
Lineage: Bacteria; Pseudomonadati; Bacteroidota; Flavobacteriia; Flavobacteriales; Flavobacteriaceae
Description: 16S ribosomal RNA
Rfam family: Bacterial small subunit ribosomal RNA
Source: RNAcentral